This 301-nucleotide ribosomal RNA is filed under the name uncultured bacterium. RNAcentral's name for it is "partial 16S ribosomal RNA". It matches the Rfam family "Bacterial small subunit ribosomal RNA", at positions 509 to 807 of the family's 1533-position model. The record is from RNAcentral.
CAGUAGCCACGGGAAUACGGAGGGGGCUAGCGUUGUUCGGAAUUACUGGGCGUAAAGCGUGCGCAGGCGGUUAUGCAAGACAGAUGUGAAAUCCCCGGGCUCAACCUGGGAACUGCAUUUGUGACUGCAUGACUAGAGCACGGCAGAGGGGGAUGGAAUUCCGCGUGUAGCAGUGAAAUGCGUAGAUAUGCGGAGGAACACCGAUGGCGAAGGCAAUCCCCUGGGCCUGUACUGACGCUCAUGCACGAAAGCGUGGGGAGCAAACAGGAUUAGAUACCCCCGUAGUCCCUGUCUCUUAUAC